GCGUGUAGCAGUGAAAUGCGUAGAUAUCGUGAGGAAGACCAGUGGCGAAGGCGAAUGCCUGGGCAAUUCCUGACACUGAGGCACGAAAGCCAGGGGAGCAAACGGGAUUAGAUACCCCGGUAGUCCUGGCAGUAAACGGUGCACGUUUGGUGUGGGAGGAUUCGACCCCUUCCGUGCCGGAGCUAACGCGUUAAACGUGCCGCCUGGGGAGUACGGUCGCAAGAUUAAAACUCAAAGAAAUUGACGGGGACCCGCACAAGCGGUGGAGUAUGUGGCUUAAUUCGAUGCAACGCGAAGAACCUUACCUGGCCUUGACAUGCAUCUCUAAUCCGGUGAAAGCCGGUGAGUGUAGCAAUACACAAUUUGCACAGGUGCUGCAUGGCUGUCGUCAGCU
RNAcentral lists this ribosomal RNA (394 nucleotides) under uncultured Verrucomicrobiota bacterium. RNAcentral describes it as "bacterial SSU rRNA". It matches the Rfam family "Bacterial small subunit ribosomal RNA", at positions 670 to 1060 of the family's 1533-position model. Lineage: Bacteria; Pseudomonadati; Verrucomicrobiota. The record is from RNAcentral.